Molecule: ribosomal RNA, 397 nt
Filed under: uncultured bacterium
Lineage: Bacteria
Description: partial 16S ribosomal RNA
Rfam family: Bacterial small subunit ribosomal RNA
Source: RNAcentral
AUACGUAGGUGACAAGCGUUAUCCGGAUUUACUGGGCGUAAAGGGCGUGUAGGCGGUCUUGCAAGUAAGAAGUGAAAUUCCUGAGCUCAACUCGGGCGCUGCUUCUGAAACUGCAGGACUUGAGUGCUGGAGGGGAUAGCGGAAUUCCUAGUGGAGCGGUAAAAUGCGCAGAUAUUAGGAAGAACACCGGUGGCGAAGGCGGCUAUCUGGACAGUAACUGACGCUGAGGCGCGAAAGCGUGGGGAGCAAACAGGAUUAGAUACCCUGGUAGUCCACGCCGCAAACGAUGAAUACUAGGUGUAGGGGGUAUCGACUCCCUCUGUGCCGCAGUUAACACAAUAAGUAUUCCGCCUGGGGAGUACGGCCGCAAGGUUGAAACUCAAAUGAAUGGACGGGG